ACGAACGCUGGCGGCGUGCUUAACACAUGCCAGUCGCACGGAAAGGCCCUGCUUUUGUGGGGUGCUCGAGUGGCGAACGGGUGAGUAACACGUGAGUCACCUGCCCUUGACUUUGGGAUAACUUCAGGAAACUGGGGCUAAUACCGGAUAGGAGCUCCUGCUGCAUGGUGGGGGUUGGAAAGUUUCGGCGGUUGGGGAUGGACUCGCGGCUUAUCAGCUUGUUGGUGGGGUAGUGGCUUACCAAGGCUUUGACGGGUAGCCGGCCUGAGGGGGUGACCGGCCACAUUGGGACUGAGAUACGGCCCAGACUCCUACGGGAGGCAGCAGUGGGGAAUAUUGCACAAUGGGCGGAAGCCUGAUGCAGCAACGCCGCGUGCGGGAUGACGGCCUUCGGGUUGUAAACCGCUUUCGCCUGUGACGAAGCGUGAGUGACGGUAAUGGGUAAAGAAGCACCGGCUAACUACGUG
This 467-nucleotide ribosomal RNA is filed under the name uncultured bacterium. RNAcentral describes it as "partial 16S ribosomal RNA". It matches the Rfam family "Bacterial small subunit ribosomal RNA", at positions 29 to 507 of the family's 1533-position model. The record is from RNAcentral.